This 361-nucleotide ribosomal RNA is filed under the name Escherichia coli. RNAcentral's name for it is "partial 23S ribosomal RNA". It matches the Rfam family "Bacterial large subunit ribosomal RNA", at positions 105 to 506 of the family's 2925-position model. The record is from RNAcentral. Lineage: Bacteria; Pseudomonadati; Pseudomonadota; Gammaproteobacteria; Enterobacterales; Enterobacteriaceae.
CGGCGAUUUCCGAAUGGGGAAACCCAGUGUGAUUCGUCACACUAUCAUUAACUGAAUCCAUAGGUUAAUGAGGCGAACCGGGGGAACUGAAACAUCUAAGUACCCCGAGGAAAAGAAAUCAACCGAGAUUCCCCCAGUAGCGGCGAGCGAACGGGGAGGAGCCCAGAGCCUGAAUCAGUGUGUGUGUUAGUGGAAGCGUCUGGAAAGGCGCGCGAUACAGGGUGACAGCCCCGUACACAAAAAUGCACAUACUGUGAGCUCGAUGAGUAGGGCGGGACACGUGGUAUCCUGUCUGAAUAUGGGGGGACCAUCCUCCAAGGCUAAAUACUCCUGACUGACCGAUAGUGAACCAGUACCGUGA